AGUGAACGCUGGCGGUAGGCCUAACACAUGCAAGUCGAACGGCAGCACAGUAAGAGCUUGCUCUUACGGGUGGCGAGUGGCGGACGGGUGAGGAAUACAUCGGAAUCUACUUUUUCGUGGGGGAUAACGUAGGGAAACUUACGCUAAUACCGCAUACGACCUACGGGUGAAAGCAGGGGAUCUUCGGACCUUGCGCGAUUGAAUGAGCCGAUGUCGGAUUAGCUAGUUGGCGGGGUAAAGGCCCACCAAGGCGACGAUCCGUAGCUGGGCUGAGAGGAUGGACCGCCCACACGGGAACGGAGAAAGGUCCCAGACCCUUACGGGAGGAAGCGUUGGGGAAUAUUGGACAAGGGGGGCAGGCUUGACCCAGCCAUACCGGGUGGGGGAGGAAGGCUUCCGGGUGUAAAAGCCUUUUGUUUGGGAAAAAAAGGAGGCAGGUAAAACCCCGCUUUUCCGACCGGUACCAAAAAAAAAAGCACCGGCAAACUCCUGG
RNAcentral lists this ribosomal RNA (493 nucleotides) under uncultured bacterium. RNAcentral's name for it is "partial 16S ribosomal RNA". It matches the Rfam family "Bacterial small subunit ribosomal RNA", at positions 29 to 507 of the family's 1533-position model. The record is from RNAcentral.